UUAAUUGGGGGCUGGAAUGAAAGGUUUUAUGGAAAAUAGCUGUUUUAAAAUAAAUAAUUGAAUUUAAGUUUUGCAUAAAAACUUGCAAGCACUCUUAAGGGACGAGAAGACCCUGUGGAUUUUUAUUUGUUAGAAAGUAAAUUUUAUAAUAUUUUAUUUUUUGUUCAAAUUUGGUUGGGAUGACAGUAAAAUUAACUUUAUUAAAAAGAUAAUUUAGAUCCU
This 222-nucleotide ribosomal RNA is filed under the name Candona sp. 51 IK-2020. RNAcentral's name for it is "partial large subunit ribosomal RNA". The record is from RNAcentral. Lineage: Eukaryota; Metazoa; Arthropoda; Ostracoda; Podocopida; Candonidae.